RNAcentral lists this ribosomal RNA (253 nucleotides) under uncultured bacterium. RNAcentral describes it as "partial 16S ribosomal RNA". It matches the Rfam family "Bacterial small subunit ribosomal RNA", at positions 524 to 776 of the family's 1533-position model. The record is from RNAcentral.
UACAGAGGGUGCAAGCGUUGUUCGGAAUUACUGGGCGUAAAGGGCGCGUAGGCGGUGUGUCAAGUCAGGCGUGAAAGCCCCGGGCUCAACCUGGGAACCGCGCUUGAGACUGGCACGCUAGAGUUCGGGAGAGGAUGGUGGAAUUCCCAGUGUAGAGGUGAAAUUCGUAGAUAUUGGGAAGAACACCGAUGGCGAAGGCAGCCAUCUGGACCGACACUGACGCUGAGGCGCGAAAGCGUGGGGAGCAAACAGG